Molecule: long non-coding RNA, 678 nt
Organism: Hydra vulgaris (swiftwater hydra)
Lineage: Eukaryota; Metazoa; Cnidaria; Hydrozoa; Anthoathecata; Hydridae
Source: RefSeq, a predicted model, not a curated record
AUGAGUAACUUUGAUUUGUUUUUUACUGCAACCUGUUUUAAUUGCAUAUUUUACUCUAAAAUCAUUAUCUUUAUAAAAUCUUUUCUUAAUUAAAGAAAAGAUUUUACAAAGAGCCAGAGGGAAAAAUAUUUUCUAUGGUUGUGCGCUUUUGAUGAUUAGAGUGUUUUUGGUGGUUGUAGUAAUCAAUUGGAUGGAUUUUUUGUGCGGUUGAUUCUCUUGAAUAAUACGCAUAGUCUUGUAAAUAAAUAUCACGUCUUUUGUCUCAACUAUUUUUACUAUUGUAAGUAGAAUCACUAAAUCUUAGUUGUCAAACUCGAUAGUCGACAGCUGUACUUGUCAAACUUGAUGGUCGACAGCUGUACUUUUUUCCAAUAUUGCAACUUGACAUUUUAUAACUUUUGAUUGUUUUUGAUGUUCAUGAUUGAAAUUAGUUUUAAUGCUGUUAUGAGAAAAAAGAUUUUUGGUAAGAGUUUUGUUUUAUUGAACAAUCUAAAGUUAAAAUGACCUUAACGACUAUUAGAAGGAAGAUCAAUGCACUUACAGCGCCAUUUUUUGAAUAUCGAUGCACUUACAGCACCAUUUUUUGAAGAUCAAUGCACUUACAGCGCCAUUUUGAAGAUAUAUUUAUACUUGUAGAUGUAAUACGUUAAGAAAACUAAUAAUAAAGUAUUAAAGCAA